GAUGAACGCUGGCGGCGUGCCUAAUACAUGCAAGUCGAGCGAACAGACGAGGAGCUUGCUCCUCUGACGUUAGCGGCGGACGGGUGAGUAACACGUGGAUAACCUACCUAUAAGACUGGGAUAACUUCGGGAAACCGGAGCUAAUACCGGAUAAUAUAUUGAACCGCAUGGUUCAAUAGUGAAAGACGGUUUUGCUGUCACUUAUAGAUGGAUCCGCGCCGCAUUAGCUAGUUGGUAAGGUAACGGCUUACCAAGGCAACGAUGCGUAGCCGACCUGAGAGGGUGAUCGGCCACACUGGAACUGAGACACGGUCCAGACUCCUACGGGAGGCAGCAGUAGGGAAUCUUCCGCAAUGGGCGAAAGCUUGACGGAGCAACGCCGCGUGAGUGAUGAAGGUCUUCGGAUCGUAAAACUCUGUUAUUAGGGAAGAACAAAGGUGUAAGUAACUAUGCACGUCUUGACGGUACCUAAUCAGAAAGCCACGGCUAACUACGUG
This 497-nucleotide ribosomal RNA is filed under the name uncultured bacterium. RNAcentral's name for it is "partial 16S ribosomal RNA". It matches the Rfam family "Bacterial small subunit ribosomal RNA", at positions 28 to 507 of the family's 1533-position model. The record is from RNAcentral.